CUUAAACAAGUAAUCCUUUCACAUCAGCUAGCUAGCUGGGAAUCCGUUCAAGAGAUACUUGCCGAGCAUUACACACGACAAUUUCUUCAUGAGAUGUACAAGGUAUUUGGUUCAGCAGGAGUUAUCGGAAAUCCUAUGGGGUUUGCAAGGAGCAUGGGUCUUGGCCUCAAAGAUUUCUUGUCAGCUCCUGUACAAAGUGUUUUCCAGACUCGUGCAGGGUUAAUUAAAGGCAUGGCACAAGGGACCGCUAGUCUUUUGAGUAACACCGUCUAUGCCUUAAGUGAUGCUGCCACCCAAUUCAGCAAAGCUGCACACAAGGGUAUCGUGGCAUUUACUUUUGAUGAUCAGGCUGUCGGAAAUAUGGAAAGACACCAGAAG
This 378-nucleotide unclassified non-coding RNA is filed under the name Hevea brasiliensis (rubber tree). The record is from RNAcentral. Lineage: Eukaryota; Viridiplantae; Streptophyta; Magnoliopsida; Malpighiales; Euphorbiaceae.